RNAcentral lists this ribosomal RNA (194 nucleotides) under uncultured Anoxybacillus sp. RNAcentral's name for it is "partial 16S ribosomal RNA". It matches the Rfam family "Bacterial small subunit ribosomal RNA", at positions 1190 to 1382 of the family's 1533-position model. Lineage: Bacteria; Bacillati; Bacillota; Bacilli; Caryophanales; Anoxybacillaceae. The record is from RNAcentral.
UCAUCAUGCCCCUUAUGACCUGGGCUACACACGUGCUACAAUGGGCGGUACAAAGGGUCGCGAACCCGCGAGGGGGAGCCAAUCCCAAAAAGCCGCUACUCAGUUCGGAUUGCAGGCUGCAACUCGCCUGCAUGAAGCCGGAAUCGCUAGUAAUCGCGGAUCAGCAUGCCGCGGUGAAUACGUUCCCGGGCCUU